CGCCUUGCUCCUUCUUGGCCAUUUAUGGAGGGCGUGUUGAACCCACUCCACUCACCCACAGUUCCCUGAUGUGAGCACACUGUGAUAUAGAGAUCCCUGCUCUCAUGACGCUGAUGUUCCAGAGGAAGCAGGCAGUCAACUAGCAUAUUAACAAUGAGAUCAUUUCAACUAGAAGGAAAGGAUCCAGAGGACCUGAGAGAUGCAAGAGCCAUGAGGAUGAGGAGGAAAGUGACUGGGAGGGCUCCUGCUCUUGUUCUUGCUCUUUCCACUUAGGCAAGCCUAGGGUUAUUCACAUGGAGUUUCUGUCCAGUGCUGACCAACCAGCGUUCACUAGAACUUGGAGCAAGAGCCAUUGACACCACGGCAAUGCACAGCCACGUGCAUGCGGUCCAAGGUGUCAGCAGCAACUUCGGGCAGAAUGGCUCACUCCUGUGUCCUAAGACCAUAUCUGCAUUCUCUCUCUCGGCAGUAGGAACUCCAUACAAGCUUCCUGACCCUCGCUGCCCCGGUGGACUGGACGAUGAACUGACAUUUUCCAAACAGCCUUUGCUCCACCCUUGAUUAGAAAGUAUCUUUAAUUAAAACACCACAUCAGAAUUCUGAACCAAUUUCAUCCUGGCUCUCCUAAGUGCUUUGUACAAAACAUUAACUCUGGAAUCUCAUUAUACAUUUGCAACCCCUGUGACAAACAUAAAUGAUAAUUUAGCUCUAAUGCCUUCUUGAGCAAGUCAUAUUUCUAAAAGCUCAUGGAUAAUGGUAACUUACUGAGGGGAAUGUGUUAAUGUUGGAUUUAUCUGUCUCUUUACUUUUUAAACAAAGAAUUAGGGCUGGGAUGGUGGUGGGCUAAACAA
This 851-nucleotide long non-coding RNA is filed under the name Equus caballus (horse). RNAcentral describes it as "lncRNA (ENSECAG00000059938.1)". The record is from RNAcentral. Lineage: Eukaryota; Metazoa; Chordata; Mammalia; Perissodactyla; Equidae.